UACGUAGGGUGCGAGCGUUGUCCGGAAUUACUGGGCGUAAAGAGCUCGUAGGCGGCUUGUCGCGUCGACUGUGAAAACCCACGGCUUAACUGUGGGCUUGCAGUCGAUACGGGCAGGCUAGAGUUCGGUAGGGGAGACUGGAAUUCCUGGUGUAGCGGUGAAAUGCGCAGAUAUCAGGAGGAACACCGGUGGCGAAGGCGGGUCUCUGGGCCGAUACUGACGCUGAGGAGCGAAAGCGUGGGGAGCGAACAGG
RNAcentral lists this ribosomal RNA (253 nucleotides) under uncultured bacterium. Its description in RNAcentral is "partial 16S ribosomal RNA". It matches the Rfam family "Bacterial small subunit ribosomal RNA", at positions 524 to 776 of the family's 1533-position model. The record is from RNAcentral.